RNAcentral lists this unclassified non-coding RNA (380 nucleotides) under Hevea brasiliensis (rubber tree). Lineage: Eukaryota; Viridiplantae; Streptophyta; Magnoliopsida; Malpighiales; Euphorbiaceae. The record is from RNAcentral.
GCAGGAUGUUCAGGUAUUGUUAGGGGCUGAGCCAAACCACCUAGAUGCUUUAGAGAUUGCCCGGAGAUUGAGGACAGCAAUGGGUCGCUCAGCAGGACCUCCAAAGCCGCUCUUCUUCCGAUGCACUGGGGGCAUAUGCAGUUCGUGGUGCACCAAAUGCUGGAAUCGGGCCUUGUUUACCAGCCCGGCCAGUCUCCAAGAAGGGGGCAAUUCCAACUGGGGGAUUGGUUGCAUCGGGUGGUAAUAAAGUGGAAAAGCCUCAAGUGAAUUUGAUCAGUGAAAAUGGUCCCGAGACUAAAACCCAGUUGCCAAAACUUAUGUUGAAGCCUUCAAAUGGUUCUUCAAAACCUGGUGCUAAUCUGGCCAAGGAUAGCCAAGGA